GACAGAGGGUGCAAACGUUGUUCGGAAUUACUGGGCGUAAAGCGCGUGUAGGCGGGUCUUUAAGUCAGGGGGGAAAUGCCAAGGCUCAACCUUGGAACUGCCCUUGAUACUGGAGACCUUGAGUCCGGGAGAGGUGAGUGGAAUUGCGAGUGUAGAGGUGAAAUUCGUAGAUAUUCGCAAGAACACCAGUGGCGAAGGCGGCUCACUGGCCCGGAACUGACGCUGAGACGCGAAGGCGUGGGGAGCAAACAGG
RNAcentral lists this ribosomal RNA (253 nucleotides) under uncultured bacterium. Its description in RNAcentral is "partial 16S ribosomal RNA". It matches the Rfam family "Bacterial small subunit ribosomal RNA", at positions 524 to 776 of the family's 1533-position model. The record is from RNAcentral.